RNAcentral lists this ribosomal RNA (253 nucleotides) under uncultured bacterium. RNAcentral's name for it is "partial 16S ribosomal RNA". It matches the Rfam family "Bacterial small subunit ribosomal RNA", at positions 524 to 776 of the family's 1533-position model. The record is from RNAcentral. RNAcentral also lists the same sequence under 1 other name.
UACGAAGGGUGCAAACGUUGCUCGGAAUCAUUGGGCGUAAAGCGCACGUAGGCGGCACACCAAGUCGGAUGUGAAAUCCCUCGGCUCAACCAAGGAAGUGCAUCCGAAACUGGCGAGCUUGAGUACGGGAGAGGAUCGCGGAAUUCCCGGUGUAGAGGUGAAAUUCGUAGAUAUCGGGAGGAACACCAGUGGCGAAGGCGGCGAUCUGGCCUAGUACUGACGCUGAGGUGCGAAAGCGUGGGGAGCAAACAGG